Molecule: long non-coding RNA, 853 nt
Organism: Bos taurus (domestic cattle)
Lineage: Eukaryota; Metazoa; Chordata; Mammalia; Artiodactyla; Bovidae
Source: Ensembl
GUCGUGUUUGAUUCCAUGUGACCCCACGGACAGCAGCUCACUAGGCUCCUCUGUCCAUGGGAUUCUCCAGGCAAGAAUACUGGCAUGCUGCUGCUGUUGCUAAGUCGCCUCAGUCGUGUCCGACUCUGUUCGACCCCAUAGACAGAAGCCCACCAGGCUCCCCCGUCCCUGGGAUUCUCCAGAUAAUUGAUUGGAAUCUUUCCAUGAGCCUGGAAGUGGAUCAUGUCCUUCAAGGAAGGCCUGAAAUGAUCACAGCUCGGACUGAUGUCUGGACCACUCCCUGUGAGACAGCCUGAGCCUCAGGGACCCAGUGAGGUCAGGCGCUGACUCAUGACUCACAGACACUGUAAGGAAAGGAACGGUCAUUGUUUGCAGUCAUUGGGCCUUAGGGGAAAUGCUCGCACAGUGAGAUGGCACCAACACAGCGUAAAUCAUCUUUGGUAGAAAGUCAUGCCUUCUCUUCAAUCUCUCUGUCAUGCCAGCAAAGAUUCAUCCCUUAUUUACGGAAUCGGCAAUGUCUCCACAGGGAAAACCCACCUACCUAAACUGUGAUUUGAGCGGCAAGGAAUCGGAGAGGUGGGGCAGGCGGAAGCUGAGUAUAGUCCUGCAACCCGGGAGAGGAAGUGAAGCCAUUUUCCUUUUCAAAGAAGUCAGUUCCACAGUGCACUACCUCCAAUCUUCCAUCUUCUCUGCCCUCCUCAGAUUUGCUUAAUACUUAUAUCUUCUUGUAUAUAGUGGACAUUUUGUUUCUCUUCUUGUUCUAUUUGAUUGUGUUGUUUUUUAUUUUUGGCUGCCAAGCUUUUCUUAUUUGGGGUCACCCUCCACUGUUUAGACAAACUCAUCUGUUCUAAGA